This 999-nucleotide long non-coding RNA is filed under the name Pan troglodytes (chimpanzee). RNAcentral's name for it is "long non-coding RNA NONPTRT016196". The record is from RNAcentral. Lineage: Eukaryota; Metazoa; Chordata; Mammalia; Primates; Hominidae.
CAAAAUAUCAGAAUUCAUCCUCUGAAUCCUUUAUCAGAACCACUUCCCACAGACUUGGUGUUACGGUAAACUGAGGAACAGAGAUACUGAUAUGGGAACACAGGAAGAUAUUCAUUUUAAGGGAAGGAACAGGAAGAGAAGAGUGUGGCCUCCUAGAAAUCUAGCACGGAGAAAGGUAAGUCUGAUUUGUCUUUUUUUGGUCUUGUUUUGUUUUUUUGCUGUCAUUGUAAUUUUUUUUUAUGCAUUCGACUAUUAUACGUUAUACUGUUAUAUUAUGUUGGCCAGACUGGUCUUGAACUCCUGACCUCGUGAUCCUCAGCCUCCCAAAGUGCUGGGAUUACAGGAGUGAACCACCAAGCCCGGCCUGACCUCUUGGCUUUUACCAAAGGAUGUUUGCUUCUGAGGAAGUUGGAAGCUGCAGCCACAAUGUGCCUUUGCAGGGGAGCCUGAGAGCCACAGGUAAGGACAACUGAGUUAGACAGGAGGGAUGAGGCCUAGGGGGAGGGCAGAGUGCAUCACAUUCCCCCACCCAGACCCACAGGCCACGGCAUCACAGCCCCAUGCAAGUCCCGACACCUGUCUCUCUGAUUGUGUGAUUCCCAGUUAUUCCCAUUCCCCUAACAGAUAAACCUCCCAAUGGGUUCAAUGCAUACACUUUUAUUAAAUCUCACUCUGUCACCCAGGCUGGAGGGCAGUGGUGUGAUCUCGGCUCACUGCAAGCUCCGCUUUACAGGUUCAGGCGAUUCUCUUCAGCCUCCUGAGUAGCUGGGACUACAGGCAUGCACCACCAGGCCUGGCUAAUUUUCUUGUAUUUUUAGCAGAAAUAGGGUUUCACCAUGUUGGUCAGGCUGAUCAUGAACUCCUGACCUCAAAUGACCCACCUGCCUCGGCCUCCCAAAGUGCUGGGAUCACCUGCCCACUCCCUUGGUGAGGAGCCCCCUAGGGCACCUCCACCUCCUGGAGCACAAAUGUUGUUGAGAUGAGCAGCUUGAGACAUGG